RNAcentral lists this unclassified non-coding RNA (193 nucleotides) under soil metagenome. RNAcentral describes it as "partial contains 5.8S ribosomal RNA, internal transcribed spacer 2, and large subunit ribosomal RNA". The record is from RNAcentral.
AACGCACGAGACCUGCGGACCUGCGGAGGGAUCAUUACUGAGUUAUCCAACUCCCAACCCCUGUGAAUUAUACCUUUAAUUGUUGCUUCGGCGGGACUUCGCGCCCGCCGGGGACCCAAACCUUCUGAAUUUUUUAAUAAGUAUCUUCUGAGUGGUUAAAAAAAUGAAUCAAAACUUUCAACAAUGGAUCUCU